AUUGAACGCUGGCGGCAGGCCUAACACAUGCAAGUCGGACGGUAGCACAGAGGAGCUUGCUCUUCGGGUGACGAGUGGCGGACGGGUGAGUAAUGUCUGGGAAACUGCCCGAUGGAGGGGGAUAACUACUGGAAACGGUAGCUAAUACCGCAUAACGUCGCAAGACCAAAGUGGGGGACCUUCGGGCCUCACACCAUCGGAUGUGCCCAGAUGGGAUUAGCUGGUAGGCGGGGUAACGGCCCACCUAGGCGACGAUCCCUAGCUGGUCUGAGAGGAUGACCAGCCACACUGGAACUGAGACACGGUCCAGACUCCGACGGGAGGCAGCAGUGGGGAAUAUUGCACAAUGGGCGCAAGCCUGAUGCAGCCAUGCCGCGUGUAUGAAGAAGGCCUUCGGGUUGUAAAGUACUUUCAGCGGGGAGGAAGGUGCUGAGGUUAAUAAGCUCAGCAAUUGACGUUACCCGCAGAAGAAGCACCGGCUAACUCCGUGCCAGCAGCCGCAGUAA
RNAcentral lists this ribosomal RNA (506 nucleotides) under uncultured bacterium. RNAcentral describes it as "partial 16S ribosomal RNA". It matches the Rfam family "Bacterial small subunit ribosomal RNA", at positions 29 to 523 of the family's 1533-position model. The record is from RNAcentral.